Molecule: long non-coding RNA, 309 nt
Organism: Leptidea sinapis
Lineage: Eukaryota; Metazoa; Arthropoda; Insecta; Lepidoptera; Pieridae
Exons: 4
Source: RefSeq, a predicted model, not a curated record
CGGUCGAUAGCUCCCGCGUGCAAGCACGGCCAUGUUGCACGCCUCGCGCGCGCUUUCGGGUAGGCUAGCUGGAGUCCCCGGCUCUCGUCCGCGAGCGGAGUGUCUGUGCCGCGCGGGUGUCAUGUGCUAGUCAGUCGGACUUGGAAGUCUGGAGUGCUCUCGUUCAGGAUUUACAAUAAUGCAGCGGACACAUGGAUUGUAGCUUCGGGGAACCGAAACCCGAUUCAUGCCUUGCGCUGCGUCCAGACGCUAUGCUACUAAAGAGAUGUGAGCAGCGCGGGCGGCGAGGCGGGAGCGCGGGCGCGGGGG